CCUACGGGAGGCAGCAGUGAGGAAUAUUGGUCAAUGGGCGCGAGCCUGAACCAGCCAAGUCGCGUGAGGGAGGACGGCCCUACGGGUUGUAAACCUCUUUUGCCGGGGAGCAACGGGCGCCACGUGUGGCGUCACUGAGAGUACCCGGAGAAAAAGCAUCGGCUAACUCCGUGCCAGCAGCCGCGGUAAUACGUAGGGAGCGAGCGUUAUCCGGAAUUAUUGGGCGUAAAGGGUGCGUAGAUGGCAUAGUAAGUCUUUUGUAAAAAUGCUGGGCUCAACCCAGUAGGGCAAAAGAUACUGCAAAGCUAGAGUAUGACAGAGGCAAGUGGAACUACAUGUGUAGCGGUAAAAUGCGUAAAUAUAUGUAAGAACACCAGUGGCGAAGGCGGCUUGCUGGGUCGAUACUGACAUUGAGGCACGAAAGCGUGGGGAGCAAACAGGAUUAGAUACCCGGGUAGUC
This 460-nucleotide ribosomal RNA is filed under the name uncultured bacterium. RNAcentral's name for it is "partial 16S ribosomal RNA". It matches the Rfam family "Bacterial small subunit ribosomal RNA", at positions 338 to 795 of the family's 1533-position model. The record is from RNAcentral.